AUGCUGCACACUGAGGAGCCUCCGCUUGACGCGGACCACUUCGUCGAAGCAGUGCCAUCAUCAGUGCCGCAGCCGCAGCUGCUGGAGGAGUCCGCGCCGCCGCCGCCGCCACCGCCUCAGCCAGUGGAGAAGGACGAGCGGCCUUUACCCGCCGCCGCGCUUCCUCAAUGGUCCGAAUCGGGCCCGGGUCAAGAUAAGGGAGACAAAGAGACACGGCAAGACAAAAAUCUCUUGUCUCUUCUAGGUGCAGAAGACAAGAGCGACAGUCAGAUCUGUCAAGAACAAAGGUUUAAGGAGAACUUCCUGAACAACAAGAUGGUGUAUGCCCAUACUCAGUGCUGCUCGCGUCAUUUGAAAAUUGAAAAGACUGAUUUUGAUGUGGGUGCGUCUUUAAUUAACCCCAAAAACUGGAUUUGUUUUGUUAAUUCUGUUCUACAAUGCUUGGUUCACACUGUUCCACUUGUGUCCAAGCUUCUGAAAGAUCCUCACCUACAUAAAUGUCCUGAUCAAUUCUGCGGUUACUGCUCCCUACGAAACCAUGCUUUUGAAGCUAUUAGGCUCUCAGGACAUGUCCUGUACCCCACCAACUUUAUCAACUGCCUACAUAUAAUAUCUCAAGAUUUCGUACGGGGCAAGCAGCAAGAUGCACAUGAAUUCCUCAACUGCUUCUUUGAUAAGUUAGGCAAGGCAACUAUUUCUCCCAGAUCUGAACCUCGCGGAUCCAUUGUCCAAGAAGUUUUUGGUGGUGAACUAGAAAGCGAGUUAUCACAUUGCCCAAAGUGCAAUCAUCGUCCCUCAAGCAAGUUGGAACCCUUCUCUGACCUGAGCCUGGAGAUUAAUCAAGCGGGCACUGUCGUGGAUUCACUGUUAUCAUAUACAAAAGCUGAGGCGCUUGAAGAUUACCGUUGUGAAUCAUGCAAUAGUUGCAUGAAGAGGGAAAAGCACCUCAAGGUGAAGAAGGCUCCUGAAGUUCUCAUAAUGCAUCUAAAACGAUUCCAAAGUGCGGGGCACCGUACAUCUAAAAUAACUGACAUGGUGAACUAUCAGUUAGAGUUGGAUUUAGCCCCCUUCAUGAGCUCCCCGGAUGAGCAACCACAAAAUUAUGAUCUGUAUGGAGUCGUCGAGCACGUUGGUUCCGGGAAAGAUUCUGGUCACUACAUGAGUUAUAUCCGUUCAUCAGAUUCUGGUCACUACGCAGGUUUGGGAAAUCACCAAGGAAAAAGCUCUGGACACAAAAGCGUAUCUUUUGUUCUAUGUCAAGCAUGGUUCUUGCCCGUGGUUCUCUACUUUACUUGA
This 1296-nucleotide ribosomal RNA is filed under the name Triticum aestivum (bread wheat). Its description in RNAcentral is "partial small subunit ribosomal RNA". The record is from RNAcentral. Lineage: Eukaryota; Viridiplantae; Streptophyta; Magnoliopsida; Poales; Poaceae.